AUUGAACGCUGGCGGCAUGCUUUACACAUGCAAGUCGAGCGGCAGCGCGGGGCAACCUGGCGGCGAGCGGCGAACGGGUGAGUAAUGCAUCGGAACGUGUCCCGUAGUGGGGGAUAACCCGGCGAAAGCCGGACUAAUACCGCAUAUUCUCUACGGAGGAAAGGGGGGGACCCGCAAGGGCCUCUCGCUAUGGGAGCGGCCGAUGUCCGAUUAGCUUGUUGGUGAGGUAAUGGCUUACCAAGGCGACGAUCGGUAGCUGGUCUGAGAGGAUGAUCAGCCACACUGGGACUGAGACACGGCCCAGACUCCUACGGGAGGCAGCAGUGGGGAAUUUUGGACAAUGGGGGCAACCCUGAUCCAGCCAUGCCGCGUGCGGGAAGAAGGCCUUCGGGUUGUAAACCGCUUUUGUCCGGAAAGAAAAGGCGCCACCUAAUACGGGGCGUUCUUGACGGUACCGGAAGAAUAAGCACCGGCUAACUACGUGCCAGCAGCCGCGGUAAUACGUAGGGUGCGAGCGUUAAUCGGAAUUACUGGGCGUAAAGCGUGCGCAGGCGGUCCGCAAAGUCUGGUGUGAAAGCCCCGGGCUCAACCUGGGAACUGCAUUGGAAACUAACGGGCUCGAGUGUGGCAGAGGGGGGUGG
Molecule: ribosomal RNA, 641 nt
Filed under: uncultured beta proteobacterium
Lineage: Bacteria; Pseudomonadati; Pseudomonadota; Betaproteobacteria
Description: bacterial SSU rRNA
Rfam family: Bacterial small subunit ribosomal RNA
Source: RNAcentral